UACGUAGGGUGCGAGCGUUGUCCGGAAUUAUUGGGCGUAAAGGGCUCGUAGGCGGUUUGUCGCGUCGGGAGUGAAAACCCAGGGCUUAACCCUGGGCUGGCUUCCGAUACGGGCAGACUAGAGGUAUGCAGGGGAGAACGGAAUUCCUGGUGUAGCGGUGAAAUGCGCAGAUAUCAGGAGGAACACCGGUGGCGAAGGCGACUACCUGGCCUGUUCUUGACGCUGAGGCGCGAAAGCUAGGGGAGCAAACGGG
This 253-nucleotide ribosomal RNA is filed under the name uncultured bacterium. RNAcentral's name for it is "partial 16S ribosomal RNA". It matches the Rfam family "Bacterial small subunit ribosomal RNA", at positions 524 to 776 of the family's 1533-position model. The record is from RNAcentral.